RNAcentral lists this ribosomal RNA (116 nucleotides) under uncultured bacterium. Its description in RNAcentral is "partial 16S ribosomal RNA". It matches the Rfam family "Bacterial small subunit ribosomal RNA", at positions 1358 to 1482 of the family's 1533-position model. The record is from RNAcentral.
UACGGUGAAUACGUUCCCGGACCUUGUACACACCGCCCGUCAAGCCAUGGAAGCUGGGUGUACCUAAAGUCGGUAACCGUAAGGAGCCGCCUAGGGUAAAACUAGUAACUGGAGCU